Molecule: unclassified non-coding RNA, 240 nt
Filed under: soil metagenome
Description: partial contains 5.8S ribosomal RNA, internal transcribed spacer 2, and large subunit ribosomal RNA
Source: RNAcentral
AAGACUAUAGACCUGCGGAGUACCUGCGGAAGGAUCAUUACCGAGUUCUCGCCCCUCGCGGGGUAGACCUCCCACCCACUGUGAUCACUACCGUCGUUGCUUUGGCGGGCCGCUGGGCCCAGCCCACCGCCGGCCCCGGCUGGCGCGUGCCCGCCAGAGGCCCUACAAACGCUGGAUAUCAGUGCCGUCUGAGUACACAUGUUAAUCGUUAAAACUUUCAACAAUGGAUCUCUAGAUCGG